This 255-nucleotide unclassified non-coding RNA is filed under the name Hevea brasiliensis (rubber tree). Lineage: Eukaryota; Viridiplantae; Streptophyta; Magnoliopsida; Malpighiales; Euphorbiaceae. The record is from RNAcentral.
GGUCUCAGGCUGUGAAAGGUUCUAUAGUUUCUUCACACAAACCACUGUUGGGAUCAAUGGAAUGGGUGGUAUUGGUACAUGCCUGCGAGCGCUAGCGAAUCCAACAUCAAUUUUACCACGAUUGCUAUAUAUCCUAGCGCAAAAUGUUUAACACAUUGAGCUUGUCUCAGAGUGUAAGCGCCUACUGGGCUAACGCCGGGACGCAGACCUGGCGUUCUGUAAGAGAGACAGACAGAUAGAGAGAGAGAGAGAGAG